AAGUCGUAACAAGGUCUCCGUUGGUGAACCAGCGGAGGGAUCAUUAAAGAGUUGCAAAAACUCCCUACAAACCAUCGCGAACGCUACCCCAGACGUCGUUGCUUCGGCGGGCCUGCCCGCCGGGGGGACGCCCACACAGGCUCUUUGCAGUUACCCGGCCUCUCUGAGUUUGAUUAUACCAAAUCAGUCAAAACUUUCAACAACGGAUCUCUUGGUUCUG
Molecule: unclassified non-coding RNA, 220 nt
Filed under: Rhypophila cochleariformis
Lineage: Eukaryota; Fungi; Ascomycota; Sordariomycetes; Sordariales; Naviculisporaceae
Description: Podospora cochleariformis partial internal transcribed spacer region
Rfam family: Eukaryotic small subunit ribosomal RNA (bases 1-46)
Source: RNAcentral